This 438-nucleotide ribosomal RNA is filed under the name uncultured bacterium. RNAcentral's name for it is "partial 16S ribosomal RNA". It matches the Rfam family "Bacterial small subunit ribosomal RNA", at positions 338 to 795 of the family's 1533-position model. The record is from RNAcentral.
CCUGGGGGGCAGCAGUGGGGAAUAUUGCACAAUGGGGGAAACCCUGAUGCAGCGACGCCGCGUGAAGGAAGAAGUAUUUCGGUAUGUAAACUUCUAUCAGCAGGGAAGAAAAUGACGGUACCUGACUAAGAAGCCCCGGCUAACUACGUGCCAGCAGCCGCGGUAAUACGUAGGGGGCAAGCGUUAUCCGGAUUUACUGGGUGUAAAGGGAGCGUAGGCGGCGAUGCAAGUCAGAAGUGAAAGCCCGGGGCUCAACUCCGGGACUGCUUUUGAAACUGUAUGGCUAGAUUGCAGGAGAGGGAAGUGGAAUUCCUAGUGUAGCGGUGAAAUGCGUAGAUAUUAGGAGGAACACCAGUGGCGAAGGCGGCUUGCUGGACUGUAAAUGACGCUGAGGCUCGAAAGCGUGGGGAGCAAACAGGAUUAGAUACCCUUGUAGUC